Long non-coding RNA from Chlorocebus sabaeus (green monkey), 837 nucleotides. RefSeq lists it as uncharacterized. The record is from RefSeq and is a predicted model, not a curated record. NCBI's taxonomy places the organism in Eukaryota, Metazoa, Chordata, Mammalia, Primates, Cercopithecidae.
UGUACCACAAUUUAUCCAUUCACCUGCUGAAGUGCAUCUUGAUUGCAUCCAAGUUUUGGCAAUUAUGAAUAAAGCUAGGAUAAGCAUUCAUGUACCGGUUCUUGUGUGGACAUAAGUUCUUAACUCAUUUGGAUAACUAUCAAGGAGCAAGAUUGCUGGAUCAUAUGGUAAGAGUAUGUUGAGUUUUAUAAGAAACCACCAAACUGUCUUUCAGACUGGCUGUACCAUUUUGCAUUCCUACCAGCAAUGAAUGGGAACUCCUCUUGCCCCCAUACCCUCACCAGUAUUCAGUGCUGUCAGUGUUCUGGAUUUUGGCCAUUCUAAUAGGGACAAAAACCUGAAUGAGACACCCUCUACCUAGGGAGGGACUGAAAUUGAUCACAAAGUGUCUCCUCCAAGAAGCUGGAAGCUUGUUAGAACUAUUCAUGAAAAAUAAUUCUAUGAGUGUUUUCCCUUAAGGUUCCAAAGGCAACUUGGAAGGGAAAAGGGACCCUUCGAGAAAGUUCCAGGAAAAAAGCCACUCCCAAAAAGACUACCGCUUCAAGAAAACCUGAGGAAGGCAACAGGCCAACACUAUCCAGCCACUAUGACCAGCUGAAUGGGAAGCUCACUCAAAAUGAGCCACAGCAGGACCAAAUUAGCCAGGAGACCUCCACAAUCUCCAGCGUCUCCCUGGACAGCCAGUGAUUUCAAGGCAAGUUCAGAGGCCUAGAUCUAUCUGAGAGGUCUCCAGAGAUCUGGCCCCAGAGAAAUAGCCAGCAGGGUCUAGAAUACAUUCUACACCCCACAGGGUACGCCCCAUGGUGAUGAAAAUAAAAUGAAUCUGUUGUAAAAUGA